Molecule: ribosomal RNA, 428 nt
Filed under: uncultured prokaryote
Description: bacterial SSU rRNA
Rfam family: Bacterial small subunit ribosomal RNA
Source: RNAcentral
UGGGGAAUAUUCCGCAAUGGACGAAAGUCUGACGGAGCAAUGCCGCGUGAGUGAUGAAGGCUUUUGGGUCGUAAAACUCUGUCUUUUGGGACGAAAUUUCUAUGUGUUAAUACCAUGUAGGAUUGACGGUACCUUAGGAGGAAGCCCCGGCUAACUACGUGCCAGCAGCCGCGGUAAUACGUAGGGGGCGAGCGUUGUCCGGAUUUAUUGGGCGUAAAGGGCGGGUAGGCGGUUUUCUAAGUCGGAUGUGAAAACUCUGGGCUCAACCCAGCGACUGCAUCCGAAACUGGAAAGCUUGAGGGCAGGAGAGGAAAGUGGAAUUCCAAGUGUAGCGGUGAAAUGCGUAGAUAUUUGGAAGAACACCAGUGGCGAAGGCGACUUUCUGGACUGUUCCUGACGCUGAGGCGCGAAAGCCAGGGGAGCGAACG